This 24-nucleotide non-coding RNA is filed under the name Mus musculus (house mouse). The record is from RNAcentral. Lineage: Eukaryota; Metazoa; Chordata; Mammalia; Rodentia; Muridae.
UGCCACCAGCCUCUCCCACGGCCC